GGGGGAAGUUGCUUCGGUAACUGACCUAGCGGCGGACGGGUGAGUAAUACUUAGGAAUCUGCCUAUUAAUGGGGGACAACAUCUCGAAAGGGAUGCUAAUACCGCAUACGCCCUACGGGGGAAAGCAGGGGAUCACUUGUGACCUUGCGUUAAUAGAUGAGCCUAAGUCGGAUUAGCUAGUUGGUGGGGUAAAGGCCUACCAAGGCGACGAUCUGUAGCGGGUCUGAGAGGAUGAUCCGCCACACUGGGACUGAGACACGGCCCAGACUCCUACGGGAGGCAGCAGUGGGGAAUAUUGGACAAUGGGGGGAACCCUGAUCCAGCCAUGCCGCGUGUGUGAAGAAGGCCUUAUGGUUGUAAAGCACUUUAAGCGAGGAGGAGGCUCUCUUGGUUAAUACCCAAGAUGAGUGGACGUUACUCGCAGAAUAAGCACCGGCUAACUCUGUGCCAGCAGCCGCGGUAAUACAGAGGGUGCGAGCGUUAAUCGGAUUUACUGGGCGUAAAGCGUGCGUAGGCGGCUUUUUAAGUCGGAUGUGAAAUCCCCGAGCUUAACUUGGGAAUUGCAUUCGAUACUGGGAAGCUAGAGUAUGGGAGAGGAUGGUAGAAUUCCAGGUGUAGCGGUGAAAUGCGUAGAGAUCUGGAGGAAUACCGAUGGCGAAGGCAGCCAUCUGGCCUAAUACUGACGCUGAGGUACGAAAGCAUGGGGAGCAAACAGGAUUAGAUACCCUGGUAGUCCAUGCCGUAAACGAUGUCUACUAGCCGUUGGGGCCUUUGAGGCUUUAGUGGCGCAGCUAACGCGA
RNAcentral lists this ribosomal RNA (800 nucleotides) under Acinetobacter sp. AU07. Its description in RNAcentral is "bacterial SSU rRNA". It matches the Rfam family "Bacterial small subunit ribosomal RNA", at positions 68 to 860 of the family's 1533-position model. Lineage: Bacteria; Pseudomonadati; Pseudomonadota; Gammaproteobacteria; Moraxellales; Moraxellaceae. The record is from RNAcentral.